AAAUCCACAGUGUGCCUGGAACCCUGGGCUCAUGUCAGAGAGCCAGACAUGCAGCAAGCCCUAAGGGCUCACCCACAAACCCAAGAGUUUGUCUGGGAUAACUUUAAACCACUUAGCCUGGGUUUUAUUCCCUGCAUUGAGAGCCAUCAUCCCAAGGGGAUAAUUUGGAGCUCCCUCAGGUGUAACACCACAUUAAGAAAGCGCUUAGGAGGAGUUUUUCAAGGUCGGACAAAGGUGAUCAAACAAGAGAGUGGCACUUCUCAGUCAGAGUGGGAAUGAUUGAUCUUCCCAUCAGAUUUUAGAGCUGCACCGCUUGACAUCGUGUCCUUUCAUGUCCUGAUCAAAGAAGCUCAUGGCACGCCCAAGGUAUUCUCCAGAGUGCCUUCACUGAAGAAUUCCAAGGUCAACUGAAGGAAAAUGUGGCAUCUUCUUCCCUGGCAACCUCUGGCCCUGGUGGUUCCACAUCGGCUGCUUCAGGAGCUGCACGUACUCAAAAUAAAAAGGCUGACACUGGCACAAA
Molecule: long non-coding RNA, 520 nt
Organism: Pseudopipra pipra
Lineage: Eukaryota; Metazoa; Chordata; Aves; Passeriformes; Pipridae
Exons: 2
Source: RefSeq, a predicted model, not a curated record